RNAcentral lists this ribosomal RNA (368 nucleotides) under uncultured organism. RNAcentral's name for it is "bacterial SSU rRNA". It matches the Rfam family "Bacterial small subunit ribosomal RNA", at positions 526 to 896 of the family's 1533-position model. The record is from RNAcentral.
CGGAGGGUGCAAGCGUUAUCCGGAUUCACUGGGUUUAAAGGGUGCGUAGGUGGCUUUGUAAGUCAGUGGUGAAAUGCUUCCGCUUAACGGAAGAACUGCCAUUGAUACUGCUUAGCUUGAAUCAGGUCGAGGUGGAUGGAAUAUUACAUGUAGCGGUGAAAUGCUUAGAUAUGUAAUAGAACACCGAUUGCGAAGGCAGUUCACUAGGCCUGAAUUGACACUGAGGCACGAAAGCGUGGGGAUCAAACAGGAUUAGAUACCCUGGUAGUCCACGCCCUAAACGAUGUAAACUCGACAUUAGCGAUACACAGUUAGUGUCCAAGCAAAAGCGUUAAGUUUACCACCUGGGAAGUACGACCGCAAGGUUG